UACAGAGGUCCCAAGCGUUGUUCGGAUUCACCGGGCGUAAAGGGUGCGUAGGUGGUGAGGUAAGUCGGAUGUGAAAGCUCGGAGCUCAACUCCGAAAUGGCAUUGGAAACUACCUUGCUCGAGGGUUGGAGGGGGGACUGGAAUGCUUGGUGUAGCAGUGAAAUGCGUAGAUAUCAAGCGGAACACCAGUGGCGAAGGCGAGUCCCUGGACAACUCCUGACACUGAGGCACGAAAGCUAGGGGAGCAAACAGG
This 253-nucleotide ribosomal RNA is filed under the name uncultured bacterium. RNAcentral's name for it is "partial 16S ribosomal RNA". It matches the Rfam family "Bacterial small subunit ribosomal RNA", at positions 524 to 776 of the family's 1533-position model. The record is from RNAcentral.